CUUCUUAGAGGGGCUAUCGGUGUUUAACCGAUGGAAGUUUGAGGCAAUAACAGGUCUGUGAUGCCCUUAGAUGUUCUGGGCCGCACGCGCGGCUACACUGAUGAAGUCAUCGAGUUCAUUUCCUUCAUCGGAAGAUGUGGGUAAUCUUUUGAAACUUCAUCGUGCUGGGGAUAGAGCUUUGCAAUUAUUGCUCUUGAACGAGGAAUCCCUAGUAAGUACAAGUCAUCAGCUUGUGCUGAUUACGUCCCUGCCCUUUGUACCCACCGCCCGUCGCUACUACCGAUUGAAUGGCUUAGUGAGGC
This 302-nucleotide ribosomal RNA is filed under the name Glomus sp. 2-Mutompo. Its description in RNAcentral is "SSU rRNA". It matches the Rfam family "Eukaryotic small subunit ribosomal RNA", at positions 1407 to 1707 of the family's 1831-position model. The record is from RNAcentral. Lineage: Eukaryota; Fungi; Glomeromycota; Glomeromycetes; Glomerales; Glomeraceae.